UUUAUUGAAUUGUGUGAGUAUUUUUAUAAAGAUUAUAGGAUCGUGUGUAAAAAAAAUUGAGGAGAGGAAAAAAAUCUCGGCUAGACUAAGCUUGGUUGACAGAGAGCCAGCUCGGUAUUGGCUGUGAAGCAGCACAAACCGAUUCCUUUUUCUCUCUUUUUUUUAAUACUCAACAGGUACUAUAUAGAGAUAGAGAUGUGUGAAAACAUGAAAUCAUUAUGUAAUUUC
RNAcentral lists this long non-coding RNA (228 nucleotides) under Populus tremula. RNAcentral describes it as "long non-coding RNA (PTRE_LNC003315)". Lineage: Eukaryota; Viridiplantae; Streptophyta; Magnoliopsida; Malpighiales; Salicaceae. The record is from RNAcentral.